CAGUCGCCGCGGUAAAACGUAGGUGGCAAGCGUUGUCCGGAAUUAUUGGGCGUAAAGGGCUCGCAGACGGUUUCUUAAGUCUGAUGUGAAAGCCCCCGGCUCAACCGGGGAGGGUCAUUGGAAACUGGGAAACUUGAGUGCAGAAGAGGAGAGUGGAAUUCCACGUGUAGCGGUGAAAUGCGUAGAGAUGUGGAGGAACACCAGUGGCGAAGGCGACUCUCUGGUCUGUAACUGACGCUGAGGAGCGAAAGCGUGGGGAGCGAACAGGAUUAGAUACCCGAGUAGUCCCUGUCUCUUAUAC
RNAcentral lists this ribosomal RNA (301 nucleotides) under uncultured bacterium. RNAcentral describes it as "partial 16S ribosomal RNA". It matches the Rfam family "Bacterial small subunit ribosomal RNA", at positions 509 to 807 of the family's 1533-position model. The record is from RNAcentral.